RNAcentral lists this unclassified non-coding RNA (1556 nucleotides) under Hevea brasiliensis (rubber tree). Lineage: Eukaryota; Viridiplantae; Streptophyta; Magnoliopsida; Malpighiales; Euphorbiaceae. The record is from RNAcentral.
AGAGAGAGAGAGAGAGAGAGAUCAACACUAGUUGUCAAAAAACAUGAUGGCGAUAACAUUGAAAAAGGCAGAGCACAAGCAUCCAUAUUGGGCUCAAACGAAGCAAAUAAUCAACAAAGUACUUUCGGCUCUUGAUUUUACUUAUUUUGUUUAUUAUCUGAAAUAAGAAAUUAAGGCAAUACAAAAAAUGCCAAAAUUACCAAGUAGAAAUCGGAAUCGAAGUUAUACAAGAAAGAAGAAGUUAAUCUCCUAAUUGUGAUUUUACUCAUACGGAAAUAAGUAAAUUGCAUAUUGGAAUCAUAUCAAAUCUUAAGCAAAAUGAACAGGAAGAGAAAGAACUCAUAGAUUACAUUUUCAGAAAGGUAUCGAAAGAUAGAUUGUAACUCAUCCAAGCAUCCAAUAUCAUAACACAGUAAAACCAGAGAGAGAAAAAGAAAACAAAUCACAUAUAUGCUCAAGAAAAUUGAUGGAGUUGCUCAAACUCAUUGAAAGAUGUAAUUGCAGAAUAUAAAUCCAGCUUCAAUCAGUCCAAGCACCUCACUUCAAUUCAACUAUACUCACUCAAACUCCCUCACUCCUUCUCUGGGAUCUCCCGAGCUCGAAAACUCCAGCUAUCCUUAAUAUAAAAGAAGAACCUUAAAAUUGUCGAAAGGAAAUCAUUAGAACAGAAGAAAAAAUAUCAAAUUUUCUUCUCUUGUACCACUUUACAAGGACAGACCCGCAAACCAGGAAAAAAAAAUAAUAUCCCCAUAAAUACAAAUAAAUAUAAAAGCACUUACAGAGGAAAGGAACAAAACUUUAAUAAUAUACAGUAGUACUAAAUAAAAGAGCAGGAAACCAACUUUUUUUCUUACCAGAAGCAAUGGAUCCAAGAACCAAAAUCCACUCUCUCAUCACAAUCUGAUUCCCAAGAAUGCAAACACUUAAUUAUCCUCCAAUUUUGAGCUUAUCUUCAAGAAAAAGAGCAACAAACCAGAAAACACACAAGGGGAAGAGAGCACUAAAAAAACAAAACGCACUAAUGCUAAUUAAUUAAAUACCCGGUUCCACUAAGCACAAUGCUCCUCUCUAACCUCCCUCUAACAAAAAAAGCGACUGUUUUAGACAGUGCUGUGGAUUUCUUUCUAGAGAGAGAGAGAAAAAAAAUAAACAUAAACAAAGUUAGUGGGGGAGCUUAAUGCCGAGAGAGAGUGAAAUAUGGAAUUGUGGGUGUAAAUCACGUUUGCUGUUGUUGAAUUUCAGCAGAGGCAGCCCCUUCUCAUCCCACCCCCCAAAUCCAGGGUAACGCGUAGGACCCACCUAUAGCUUUCUCCUCUCUUUUUUUUCUUCCUCCUGCUAAUCACUACAAUUUUCUUGGCUCAAUAUUAUAAUAAUAAUUCUGAGAUAAGGAAUUGUUUUAAUAUAGAGAAAAAAUGUAUUUAAAAAAAAUAUAAUAGAGAGAGAAAAUGAAGAAGAAGAAAAAAAAAAUAUUUAUUUAAUGUUUGUAUUGUUUUGUUUUGUCAAUGAAGCUUAUGUUUUCUCUCCAUCUUUAAUAUCUAUUUUGUUGUGGUAGUGAG